CCAGGAUAGCUGGAACUCAUGAUAGUUUUAUCAGGUAAAGCGAAUGAUUAGAAGUUUUGGGGAUGAAACAUCCUCGGCUUAUUCUCAAACUUUAAAUAGGUAAGAUUAUUCAUUUACUUUAGUGAAUUGAGUAAUCGAAUAAAGAGUUCUUAGUGGGCCAUUUUUGGUAAGCAGAACUGGCGAUGUGGGAUGAACCAGACGUUGAGAUAAAGUGCCAAAGAUUUCGCUCAUCAGACACCAUAAAAAGGUGUUAAUUCAUAUCGACAGUAGGACGGUGGCCAUGGAAGUCGGAAUCCGCUAAGGAGUGUGUAACAACUCACCUACCGAAUGAAUUAGCCCUGAAAAUGGAUGGCGCUUAAGCGAUACACUUAUACUCAACCCCAUAAAAAAAUUUAGUGCAGUUUUUAUGGAGUAGGAGGGCGUAAAGAUUGAUUAGAAGCUUACUGUGAAGUAUAGUGAAUCUUUCUUUAGUUGCAGAUCUUGGUGGUAGUAGCAAAUAUUCAAUAGAGAACAUUGAAGACUGAAGUAGG
RNAcentral lists this ribosomal RNA (530 nucleotides) under uncultured eukaryote. RNAcentral describes it as "eukaryotic LSU rRNA". It matches the Rfam family "Eukaryotic large subunit ribosomal RNA", at positions 973 to 1500 of the family's 3401-position model. The record is from RNAcentral.